This is a long non-coding RNA of Erigeron canadensis, 853 nucleotides long. RefSeq lists it as uncharacterized. Lineage: Eukaryota; Viridiplantae; Streptophyta; Magnoliopsida; Asterales; Asteraceae. The record is from RefSeq and is a predicted model, not a curated record. The transcript has 2 exons.
UAGGUUUAGAAGAGCCCAUAUCUUUUCUAUUUUUAUUUCUGGAUCUGGGGUACUAUCAUUGAUUUAUCCAUGGUUUUUGAGAAACAUCAGAGACUCAAGAGGAGACUUGUUGAUAUGUUAAAAGGACUUCUAGGGAAGGUUGUUAAGAUCCCAACCUUAAUGAACUGAAAUUUGUGUAUUCUGCAUAGGAUCUCUGCAUACAUAGGACUGUGGUAAGGAUUGCAGAUUGACUUUAGGAUACUAAGUUCUCGAGGUAAUACCAUUUUACUGGCUUGAAUCACAAUAAGUUUUGUUUUACAAAAUGUGUUAACAUCAUCAAAAUGGUAAGUGGUGGUGCUUUUCAACAGUUUAACACUCUAAAAUCUGUAAUUCUAUUAUACUAGUUUAGUAAUAUUAAAAUAUAUUGUAAUGCACUAUUGCUAUCAUGUGUCAUAACUCAUACAAAAUUACAAGUGGUCUUUGAAAUGAAUUACAACAUAUGGAAGAUACCAGGACAUUUUAGUAGGGUCAUCAGUUCUGAUCCAAUCUUACGGAAGCAGUUUGAUCUCGAGUCAGAUCUUAAUCUUCAGAGUCUUGUAUCAAGAUGUUCAUGCAUCCCAAAAUCAACUAAUUUUGUAGUCAUGUUUAUUGUGUGAGCUGUGAGGAGAAUGAUGAUAUGAUUGUGGGUAUACAUGGAAAAAUGGAAAUUUCAAAAGAUUGGAAUCAAGAUUUUCUGAAGGGAUUCUAGGGAACAAGAAGUACAAUGGCUCUAGGAGUCUAGGGGAGGAGAUGCAGGGUGCACCUAAGUGAACAAACUACUAUGGAGGCCUUCAUCUUUCGACUUUAUAUACGGGUCUUAACUUUAGGACCCAUA